UGUCUCCUACGGGGGGCAGCAGUGGGGAAUAUUGCGCAAUGGGCGAAAGCCUGACGCAGCGACGCCGCGUGAGGGAAGAAGGUCUUCGGAUCGUAAACCUCUGUCAGGAGGGAAGAAGUUUCAUAUUGCUAAUCAGGUAUGAAUUGACGGUACCUCCAGAGGAAGCACCGGCUAACUCCGUGCCAGCAGCCGCGGUAAUACGGAGGGUGCAAGCGUUAAUCGGAAUUACUGGGCGUAAAGCGCUCGUAGGCUGUUAUGUAAGUCAGAGGUGAAAUGCCAGGGCUCAACCGUGGAACUGCCUUUGA
This 305-nucleotide ribosomal RNA is filed under the name uncultured bacterium. RNAcentral's name for it is "bacterial SSU rRNA". It matches the Rfam family "Bacterial small subunit ribosomal RNA", at positions 333 to 630 of the family's 1533-position model. The record is from RNAcentral.